UGGGGAAUAUUGCACAAUGGGCGCAAGCCUGAUGCAGCCAUGCCGCGUGUGUGAAGAAGGCCUUCGGGUUGUAAACCUCUUUUAGCAAGGAAGAAGCGAAAGUGACGGUACUUGCAGAAAAAGCGCCGGCUAACUACGUGCCAGCAGCCGCGGUAAUACGUAGGGCGCAAGCGUUAUCCGGAAUUAUUGGGCGUAAAGAGCUCGUAGGCGGUUUGUCGCGUCUGCUGUGAAAACCCGAGGCUCAACCUCGGGCCUGCAGUGGGUACGGGCAGACUAGAGUGCGGUAGGGGAGAUUGGAACUCCUGGUGUAGCGGUGGAAUGCGCAGAUAUCAGGAAGAACACCGAUGGCGAAGGCAGAUCUCUGGGCCGUAACUGACGCUGAGGAGCGAAAGGGUGGGGAGCAAAACAGGCUUAGAUACCCUGGUAGUCCACCCCGUAAACGUUGGGAACUAGUUGUGGGGUCCAUUCCACGGAUUCCGUGACGCAGCUAACGCAUUAAGUUCCCCGCCUGGGGGAGUACGGCCGCAAGGCUAAAACUUAAAUGAAUUGACGGGGUCAUAGCUGUUUCCU
Molecule: ribosomal RNA, 570 nt
Filed under: uncultured bacterium
Lineage: Bacteria
Description: partial 16S ribosomal RNA
Rfam family: Bacterial small subunit ribosomal RNA
Source: RNAcentral